Molecule: small nucleolar RNA, 120 nt
Filed under: Echinops telfairi (small Madagascar hedgehog)
Lineage: Eukaryota; Metazoa; Chordata; Mammalia; Afrosoricida; Tenrecidae
Description: Small nucleolar RNA SNORA61 (ENSETEG00000024182.1)
Source: RNAcentral
GCCCUCCAGGUUCCUCACCCAUCAGACCUAAACACUGGUCUGAGCAGUUACAAAGGAGGAGAAGUAAAACUAAAACCGACACACAUUCUUUCAUGGAACAUGAGCUAGUUUCACAGAAAC